Molecule: non-coding RNA, 81 nt
Organism: Pelobates cultripes (western spadefoot toad)
Lineage: Eukaryota; Metazoa; Chordata; Amphibia; Anura; Pelobatidae
Source: the annotation of a GenBank genome assembly
CCUUUAUGGACUCUUUCCCCCAUCCCUUUUAUGUAGGGGCUCUCCCCUACAUAAAGGGAUGGGGGAGAGAGACCAUAAAGG